Long non-coding RNA from Girardinichthys multiradiatus, 975 nucleotides. RefSeq lists it as uncharacterized. The transcript is spliced from 4 exons. The record is from RefSeq and is a predicted model, not a curated record. Lineage: Eukaryota; Metazoa; Chordata; Actinopteri; Cyprinodontiformes; Goodeidae.
CUUUGUCAAAGAGCUCGUUGACUCAUUAGUGUUGGACAUUUUUUCUCUUCUCUUCCUGCUGACUGAACUAUUUCUGCCAUAAUUUUCUUCAUUGCAAGUCUCUGCUCGUGGUCAUGGAGGAUUUUGUUUGUGACAAACUAAAGGAGUGGGGUCUGGCUGAAUUGAUCGAAAUAUUUAGAGGGUCAACAGAAGAUGGAAGUAGGAACUGAAAUGACUGCGUGUCACAUCUCUGCCAGGCCAGCCGAACAUCUCAGGACCAUCAGCAUCUCCGUUGGGUUGUUAAACAUCUGCUCCCUCACCAAAAAAGACUUUUUUGUAUACAAGCUUUUGGAGGACAAACAGUUUGACUUCUUGUGCCUGACAGAAACCUGGCAGAAGGAAAAUGAUUUUACACAUCUCAACAAGGCUGCCCCAGAUGGGUACCAUCAUACCGGUCAACCACGCUCUGAAGGACGGGGUGGCGGUGUCGCAAUGUUCUACAGGGACAAAUGGCUUGUGUCUCCUGUCUCCAAUGUCCCCACCUACAACUCUUUUGAAUCUGUAGUACUAAAAAUCCAUCUAUCAGUACCCAUUAUUUUAGCCACCAUCUAUCGCCCACCUAAACCCAAUAGGGAUUUUUUAAAAGACUUUUCUUCUCUUUUAACAUUUUUGCGUACCUUAUCUCCAAGUAUUGUUCUAGUGGGUGAUUUCAAUAUUCACAUGGACAAAUUCGGUAACACUCUGACACGGGAAUUCUCUUCUUUGUUGGAUAGUUUUGAAAUGCAGCAACAUGUUGAAUUUCCAACACACAGGAAAGGACACAUUUUGGAUCUUGUCUGCUGCUCUGCUGUAGAUCUUUCAAACUGUACAGCAUCAGACUUGCCUAACUGUGACCAUAAACUAAUUUCAUUUAAUGUCACUUUCCCACUAACCAAGCUCUAGUUUCAUCUCCUUUUAAAACAUCAGUAACUCUGGGCUUACACAGAUGAUGAUACU